This 500-nucleotide ribosomal RNA is filed under the name uncultured bacterium. Its description in RNAcentral is "partial 16S ribosomal RNA". It matches the Rfam family "Bacterial small subunit ribosomal RNA", at positions 30 to 523 of the family's 1533-position model. The record is from RNAcentral.
AUUGAACGCUGGCGGCAUGCCUUACACAUGCAAGUCGAACGGCAGCACGGGAGCAAUCCUGGUGGCGAGUGGCGAACGGGUGAGUAAAGUAUCGGAACGUGCCCAGUCGUGGGGGAUAACGUAGCGAAAGUUACGCUAAUACCGCAUACGAUCUAUGGAUGAAAGCGGGGGAUCGCAAGACCUCGUGCGAUUGGAGCGGCCGAUAUCAGAUUAGGUAGUUGGUGGGGUAAAGGCUCACCAAGCCGACGAUCUGUAGCUGGUCUGAGAGGACGACCGGCAACACUGGGACUGAGACACGGCACGGACUCCGACGGGAGGCAGCAGUGGGGAAUUUUGGACAAUGGGCGCAAGCCUGAGCCAGCCAGGCCGCGUGCAGGAUGAAGGCCUUCGGGUUGUAAACUGCUUUUGUACGGAACGAAAAGGUUUGACUUAAUACGUUGGACUCAUGACGGUACCGUAAGAAUAAGCACCGGCUAACUACGUGCCAGCCGCCGCCGUAA